RNAcentral lists this ribosomal RNA (484 nucleotides) under uncultured bacterium. RNAcentral describes it as "partial 16S ribosomal RNA". It matches the Rfam family "Bacterial small subunit ribosomal RNA", at positions 30 to 507 of the family's 1533-position model. The record is from RNAcentral.
AUUGAACGCUGGCGGAAUGCUUUACACAUGCAAGUCGAGCGGCAGCACGGGGGCAACCCUGGUGGCGAGCGGCGAACGGGUGAGUAACACAUCGGAACAUGCCCAGUCGUGGGGGAUAACACUUCGAAAGAAGCGCUAAUACCGCAUACGUCCUGAGGGAGAAAGCGGGGGAUCGCAAGACCUCGCGCGAUUGGAGUGGCCGAUGUCAGAUUAGCUAGUUGGUGGGGUAAAGGCCUACCAAGGCAACGAUCUGUAGCUGGUCUGAGAGGAUGAUCAGCCACACUGGGACUGAGACACGGCCCAGACUCCUACGGGAGGCAGCAGUGGGGAAUUUUGGACAAUGGGGGCAACCCUGAUCCAGCCAUUCCGCGUGAGUGAAGAAGGCCUUCGGGUUGUAAAGCUCUUUCGGCAGGAACGAAACGGUGAGCUCUAACAUAGCUUGCUAAUGACGGUACCUGAAGAAGAAGCACCGGCUAACUACGUG